CGCUAGAAUUGUCCUCGGAGGGGAGUGCACUGGACACUUUCCCGCAUAAUCCCCAUCUGUGAACCCAUGGCGGAAUCCCCAGGGCACUCUACCCUGGAGGAGAGUCUGGGGCAAUACCAACCGAGUCUCCAGGAUGAGACUUAGCAGAACACAUCCAAGGGCCCUGUUCUCCUUCAGUCACCCUGAGUCAGACCAUGUGAACAAUGAAGGCUGUGACAAUGAAAAUUUUUAUUGUAGAACUUGCCAGUAGAAGCAUUCGCCAACCAAAAUAUAUGCUGAAAGGUGAUGUCACCAUGGCCGAAGAUGCCCCGGAUUGUGCCAGCACCCACGUAGAAAAUGAGGACAGCGAGAUUCCUUGGCAGCCUGACCAAACCAAUAAUGAGCUCAGUGUUCUGUCUCACCACCAAAUAAGUAGGGAAAAUGAGAAAUCUCCACCACAAAGAAGAAAACUGUCCCCUUUAAGUUCAUCAGAAUGUGAGAAAACUAAUAUGCCUACUGUGCACAACCUCGUUCCUAUCAUUAAUGACCAGUCCCAGUAUAUUCAUCACUUAGAAGCAGAAGUCAAGUUCUGCAAGGAGGAACUAUCUGGAAUGAAACAUAGGGUACAAGUCGUCGUACUUGAAAAUGAAAGACUCCAGCAAGAGCUGAAAUCUCAAAAACAGGAGGAGACCCUGAGGGAGCAAACACUUCUAGAUGUGUCUGGAAACAUGCAACAUUCUUGGGUAAAGACAGGCGAAGAUUCCAGGGUGGAUGAAGCUGCCAGGAGACCAUUUUCUCAUGGCGAUGCAGAUACUGGCAAAGCCACGUCUACUGGUGAAGCUGAAAAAUGGAAGCUAGAACUGGAGAGGCUGAAACUUACAUAUGAGGCAAAGAGUGAAAUUCUGGAAUCUCAAGUAUUGUACCUGAGGAAAGACUUGGCUGAAUAUCAGAAGAACUGUGACGAUCUUAAAGAACGCCUGAAGCAUAAAGAGUCUCUUCUUGCUGCCAAUCUUUCCAACCGUGUGGGUGGCCUUUGUUUGAAGUGUGCUCAGCAUGAAGCUGUGCUUUCCCAGACCCACAGUAAUGUGCAUGUCCAGACCAUUGAAACACUGACCAAAGAGAGAGAUGACUUAAUGUCUGCGCUGGUUUCUGUGCGGAGCAACUUGGCAGAUGUGCAGCAAAGAGAAACAAGUGCCUACGAGCAGGUGAAGCAAGCUGUGCAAAUGACGGAAGAGGCCAAUUUUGAGAAGACCAAGGCUUUAAUCCAGUGUGAGCAGUUAAAGAACGAACUGGAGAGGCAGACAGAACGACUGGAGAAAGAACUUGUAUCUCAGCAAGAAAAGAGAGCUUUUGAUAAAGAGAUGAUAAAGAAAGAAAUAACCAAAGAACGGGAAGAUGCUGAGUCCAAGAUGCUGGUCCUCUCUCAGAAUAUUGCUCAACUAGAGGCGGAGGUAGAAAAGGUUACAAGGGAGAAGAUUUCCGCUGUUAGUCAACUAGAAGAAAUUCAAAACCAGCUUGCUUCUCAGGAAGUAGAUGUCUCAAAGGUGUGUGGAGAAAUGCGCUUCCAGUUGAAUAAAAUCAAAAUGGAGAAGGAUGAGGCUGAAAAGGAGCACAGAGAAUACAGAGCAAAGUCGCAGAGGGAUCUUGAAAUUAAAGAUCAGGAAAUAGAGAAGUUGCGACUAGAGCUGGGCGAAAGCAAGCAGCAUGUGGAGCAGGAGCAGCAGAAGGCGGCGCGGGCCAGAGAGGAGUGCCUGCAAGUCACAGAGCUGCUGGGAGCGUCCGAGCGCCAACUGCACCUCACCAGGCUGGAAAAAGAUAGCAUUCAGCAGAGCUUCAGCAAGGAAGCAAAGGCCCAAGCCCUUCAGGCCCAGCAGAGAGAGCAGGAGCUGACACAGAAGAUACGGCAAAUGGAGGCCCAGCACGACAAAACUGAAAAUGAACAAUAUUCCUUGCUGACCUCCCAGAAUACAUUUUUGACAAAGUUAAAGGAAGAGUGCUGUAUGUUAGCCAAUAAACUAGAACAAAUCUCACAAAAAAGCAGAUCUGAAAUAGUUCAGCUCAAUCAAGAAAAAAGAUAUAUAUGUAACAAGCUGGAAAAGUUACAGAGGAGAAAUAAUGAGUUGGAGGAGCAGUGUGUCCAGCAUGGGAGGGUGCAUGAGACCAUGAAGGCAAGGCUCAGGCAGCUGGACAAGCACAGCCAGGCCACAGGCCGGCAGCUGGUGCAGCUGCUCAACAAGCAGAACCAGCUUCUCCUGGAGAGACAGAGCCUGUCGGAAGAACUAGACCGGCUGCGAGCCCAGAUAGGGAAACUGAGGCUCAGACAAGCAUAUUCAGCUAGCAAAUAGGGACACAGCAAAUGGAACCUAAGUCUGACUCCAGAGCCCAAGCUGUCCCCAUUCAGGUUAAAUAAUGUCGGACAGAGUCCAGUUACCCAGCAUGCCACAAUCUGAUUGCUGACCUGGAUGAAACAGAGUGAAAUAAAUGAUUUACAAAGAGAUAUUUACAUUCAUCUGAUUUGUACUUAAUAUUCCACAAUGCACCGCAACUUUCCCAGGGUGACACCACCUGGGACUGCAGGGGGGCUGGUCCUCAUGCCAUGAUUUUGUCCCUGCUCUAUGGAUGGGCGAGUGCUGCAGCCUGGUCGGGGAUAGCUCCUGGAGUGUGUGCUCAGAAUGGCUUCAAGUCACUGUUUUUAAAUAUCCUUGCUUGUAUGCUAGAGUAUACACAGGGAUUUUAAUAAAUGACCUUUCUAAAGA
This is an RNA transcript of Jaculus jaculus (lesser Egyptian jerboa), 2735 nucleotides long. It is a transcript of the gene named SHH signaling and ciliogenesis regulator SDCCAG8, with no coding region annotated. The transcript is spliced from 20 exons. NCBI's taxonomy places the organism in Eukaryota, Metazoa, Chordata, Mammalia, Rodentia, Dipodidae. The record is from RefSeq and is a predicted model, not a curated record.